AGCGAACAGACGAGGAGCUUGCUCCUCUGACGUUAGCGGCGGACGGGUGAGUAACACGUGGAUAACCUACCUAUAAGACUGGGAUAACUUCGGGAAACCGGAGCUAAUACCGGAUAAUAUAUUGAACCGCAUGGUUCAAUAGUGAAAGACGGUUUUGCUGUCACUUAUAGAUGGAUCCGCGCCGCAUUAGCUAGUUGGUAAGGUAACGGCUUACCAAGGCAACGAUGCGUAGCCGACCUGAGAGGGUGAUCGGCCACACUGGAACUGAGACACGGUCCAGACUCCUACGGGAGGCAGCAGUAGGGAAUCUUCCGCAAUGGGCGAAAGCCUGACGGAGCAACGCCGCGUGAGUGAUGAAGGUCUUCGGAUCGUAAAACUCUGUUAUUAGGGAAGAACAAAUGUGUAAGUAACUAUGCACGUCUUGACGGUACCUAAUCAGAAAGCCACGGCUAACUACGUGCCAGCAGCCGCGGUAAUACGUAGGUGGCAAGCGUUAUCCGGAAUUAUUGGGCGUAAAGCGCGCGUAGGCGGUUUUUUAGGUCUGAUGUGAAAGCCCACGGCUCAACCGUGGAGGGUCAUUGGAAACUGGAAAACUUGAGUGCAGAAGAGGAAAGUGGAAUUCCAUGUGUAGCGGUGAAAUGCGCAGAGAUAUGGAGGAACACCAGUGGCGAAGGCGACUUUCUGGUCUGUAACUGACGCUGAUGUGCGAAAGCGUGGGGAUCAAACAGGAUUAGAUACCCUGGU
RNAcentral lists this ribosomal RNA (744 nucleotides) under uncultured Staphylococcus sp. Its description in RNAcentral is "bacterial SSU rRNA". It matches the Rfam family "Bacterial small subunit ribosomal RNA", at positions 65 to 791 of the family's 1533-position model. Lineage: Bacteria; Bacillati; Bacillota; Bacilli; Caryophanales; Staphylococcaceae. The record is from RNAcentral.